GACGUAGGGCGCAAGCGUUUGUCCGGAUUUAUUGGGCGUAAAGAGCUCGUAGGCGGCUUGUUGCGUCGACCGUGAAAACCCGUGGCUCAACUGCGGGCUUGCGGUCGAUACGGGCGGGCUAGAGUUCGGUAGGGGAGACUGGAAUUCCUGGUGUAGCGGUGAAAUGCGCAGAUAUCAGGAGGAACACCGGUGGCGAAGGCGGGUCUCUGGGCCGAUACUGACGCUGAGGAGCGAAAGCGUGGGGAGCGAACAGG
RNAcentral lists this ribosomal RNA (254 nucleotides) under uncultured bacterium. RNAcentral describes it as "partial 16S ribosomal RNA". It matches the Rfam family "Bacterial small subunit ribosomal RNA", at positions 524 to 776 of the family's 1533-position model. The record is from RNAcentral.